CCUACGGGGGGCGGCAGUAGGGAAUCUUCCACAAUGGACGCAAGUCUGAUGGAGCAACGCCGCGUGAGUGAAGAAGGGUUUCGGCUCGUAAAGCUCUGUUGUUGGUGAAGAAGGACAGGGGUAGUAACUGACCUUUGUUUGACGGUAAUCAAUUAGAAAGUCACGGCUAACUACGUGCCAGCAGCCGCGGUAAUACGUAGGUGGCAAGCGUUGUCCGGAUUUAUUGGGCGUAAAGCGAGUGCAGGCGGCUCGAUAAGUCUGAUGUGAAAGCCUUCGGCUCAACCGGAGAAUUGCAUCAGAAACUGUCGAGCUUGAGUACAGAAGAGGAGAGUGGAACUCCAUGUGUAGCGGUGAAAUGCGUAGAUAUAUGGAAGAACACCGGUGGCGAAGGCGGCUCUCUGGUCUGUUACUGACGCUGAGGCUCGAAAGCAUGGGUAGCGAACAGGAUUAGAUACCCUGGUAGUCCAUGCCGUAAACGAUGAGUGCUAAGUGUUGGGAGGUUUCCGCCUCUCAGUGCUGCAGCUAACGCAUUAAGCACUCCGCCUGGGGAGUACGACCGCAAGGUUGAAACUCAAAGGAAUUGACGG
This 587-nucleotide ribosomal RNA is filed under the name uncultured bacterium. RNAcentral describes it as "bacterial SSU rRNA". It matches the Rfam family "Bacterial small subunit ribosomal RNA", at positions 338 to 916 of the family's 1533-position model. The record is from RNAcentral.